UACGUAGGGGGCAAGCGUUGUCCGGAUUUAUUGGGCGUAAAGAGCGUGUAGGCGGCCAUACAGGUCAGCUGUGAAAACUCGAGGCUCAACCUCGAGACGUCGGUUGAAACCGUAUGGCUAGAGUCCGGAAGAGGAGAGUGGAAUUCCCGGUGUAGCGGUGAAAUGCGCAGAUAUCAUUUGGAACGCCAAUGGCGAAAGCAGGCAACUGGGGCUGUACCGACGCUGAGACACGAAAGCCAGGGGAGCGAACGGG
RNAcentral lists this ribosomal RNA (253 nucleotides) under uncultured bacterium. RNAcentral's name for it is "partial 16S ribosomal RNA". It matches the Rfam family "Bacterial small subunit ribosomal RNA", at positions 524 to 776 of the family's 1533-position model. The record is from RNAcentral.